AGAGAGCCAAGACAAGCUUAAAAAACCAGUGGAAAUGCUUAGUCAAACUUUUGUGUUAACCUUUACUUGUAGAGGGAUGUUGGAUAAUGGGACAAGUGAAGCCAUAAAAGAGAUGGGGUUUUAGCAAAUGUGGGUUUUGUUUAGCUAGCGAGCUACCCGUCAAGAGUCUCUAGCUUUAUGGGAUUUGUCUGGAAGAAAGAGAGAAAGAGCUUGGAAUUAGUGAAAAGAUGUACAUGUAUAUGGAAAGAGGAGAGGGAUCCAAAGAGAGUUUUGAAGAAG
This 279-nucleotide unclassified non-coding RNA is filed under the name Hevea brasiliensis (rubber tree). The record is from RNAcentral. Lineage: Eukaryota; Viridiplantae; Streptophyta; Magnoliopsida; Malpighiales; Euphorbiaceae.